Ailuropoda melanoleuca (giant panda) is the source of this 2274-nucleotide long non-coding RNA. RefSeq lists it as uncharacterized. NCBI's taxonomy places the organism in Eukaryota, Metazoa, Chordata, Mammalia, Carnivora, Ursidae. The record is from RefSeq and is a predicted model, not a curated record. The transcript has 3 exons.
GCUAAGUCCAAGUGGGAAAUCACGAGGAGAGUGCAAGUCCAGUGAGGGCGGCAACAGCCAUGAGGACGCCAUCGUCUUCUCCAGCCACCGUAACCCCAAACUCCGCCAUAGUUACUGGUACCCAGCAGGCCUCCAUUAAUGUUGAAUGAAUGAAUGACGGCGUGGCAGUGAUGGUCUCAGGGCUACAAUUCCCUUCCCACUCUCCUCUGCCUGUGAAACCCUAGCUAUUCUAAUUCAACAUAUGUGAAUGGAAUAAACAUCUCCCUUAUCUCUACAGUUUGUAAUGGAAUAGGAAUUGGUGAAUUUAAAGACACACUUUCCAUAAAUGCUACAAAUAUUAAACACUUCAAAAAUUGCACCUCAAUCAGUGGAGAUCUUCAUAUCCUGCCAGUAGCAUUUAGAGGUGACUCCUUCACACGUACUCUACCUCUGGAUCCAAAGGAACUGGAUAUUCUAAAAACUGUAAAGGAAAUAACAGGGUUUUUGCUGAUUCAGGCCUGGCCCGAGAACAGGACUGACCUCCAUGCUUUCGAGAACCUAGAAAUCAUACGUGGAAGAACAAAGCAACAGUAAGUUGACCUUACCCAAAGCCUGGUAGAUUAUUUGUUUAUCUAUUUUCAAAAUAAGACCCAACGAAGAGUUUGAAAGUAGACUUAUACAGCUGUUACGAAGAUGCCCCAGAGAGCUAUCAGGUAUCCUCCAGCCAGCUCCCACCACUGUUAACCUCUCACCUCCAUGUGGUUCGAGUACGAAAUGAAGAAAUUAACGUUGCUGCAGUGCUGACUUCAGCACCAGACGUCACUCAGACUUCAGCAGUGUGCCUGUGAACGCCAUGUUGCACCUGGCUGUUCUGUCUUCUCAGUCCCUUCCAGUCUACAGCAGUCCCUGCGCCUACUCUUACCGUCUAGAGCCUUGACAAUUUUAGAAAGUCCUGGUCAAGCGUUCUGUAGGGUGGCUGAUGUUUUCUCAUGAUUCGAUUGAGGUUGUGGAUUUUUGGCAAGAAGAGCACUGAGAUGACAUGUCCGUCAUAUCAGAGGGAGCUGAGAGACUUUUUAACAUUAAAUAUUUUGUUCAGGAUUUUCACUUCUCCAACUCUAACAGCGAAAUACUCACAUGUAAGCAUCUAUAAUAUAGUAAGAGUAAUAAUGAGUUUUGUGACAGGGAAGAGUUUGAGAAUCUCUUUGACAAACCUGCCUUAGAUUUCUAAGGAUGCGGAGAAAUGUUACCUAUUAAUUGACCCCUAAAACAACUACCUGAUAUCAUUCAAUAUUAAAGAAAAUGGAAUAAGUACACAUAAAAUAUAUAUUACUUUUUAAAAACCAUCUUGGCUGUGCACCCCUGAUACUAACCACACAGUGAACAUUGCUUCCCAGAAAAAUCCUGUUGUUCUGAGUUCUCAAAAAUACUUCUUUUGCCCAAAAUUCAUGCAGAGAUAAGAGAUUUAGAUCAAUUUUCUUGGGUGACUGGCACGUACCCCUUGGCUUAGUUUUAUGAAUUUAAACAGAAGUAGGAUUACUUUUUUUUUACUUUUCACAUUUAAUGAGGAGUCUGGUGGUACAGACCACUGGCUGCAGGUGCAGCUCACCAGAGCAGGUGAUUCCAGCAUCAUCCCGUGUCUGGGCUUCUGUGGGCACACGUUGAGAGAGAAUUUCUAAACACUAGUGCUGCAGGUCUCCUACACAGGGCUGCUUGCUUUCCUCAGGAGCCAGGUUGUGGGAAGGGAGGAGAAGGACAGGGUCGGGAGACAAAGAGAAACAAGGGGAGGAGGAAUCUCCAAAUCAAACUUCUGUCAUCUCACGCCUGAUGUCUCCUCAUAUGGCUCUAUCUCAGCUGGUCCCUUCCCUGUCCUGGUGUCCAGUGAACUUCCUGAAACACAGAUCUCUUUCCUGUGGUUUCCAUUAUUUGCAGACAACAGCCAGGCUCAGGGUGUCCAAGGUCUUCUGUGCUCUGGCCUUUCCCAUCCUCCCCAGACACCUCCCCAAGCCUUCCCGCUUCCAGGUUUCUGCUCCAGCAGAAGCUCCUGGUCCUCAGCACCUAUCGGCUGCUCUCUUGCCUUCCUGCUCUUCUGGUGGUUCAGGACUUCCCUCCCUUCAGUGUGAAUUACUUUCGUCCAGUCACUAUUGGUAGCUAUUGAUAGCCUUACAGAGUUCUAGCACAGAGUUGGGUGGCUCAAAUAUUUGUUCAGUAAAUGGAUGGAUGGGUAAAUGGAUCAGUGCAUCAGUGGAUGGAUGGAUAGGCGGAUGAGUGGGUGGAAUGGAUGGGUGAACAAGAGGU